This 527-nucleotide ribosomal RNA is filed under the name uncultured bacterium. RNAcentral's name for it is "bacterial SSU rRNA". It matches the Rfam family "Bacterial small subunit ribosomal RNA", at positions 26 to 518 of the family's 1533-position model. The record is from RNAcentral.
CGAGGACGAACGCUGGCGGCGUGCCUAAUACAUGCAAGUCGAACGGUCUUUCUAUGGAAGCUUGCUCCACUGAGAAGAUAGUGGCGAACGGGUGAGUAACACGUGGGUAACCUGCCCAUAAGGAGGGGGAUAACAUCCGGAAACGGGUGCUAAUACCGCAUAGUUUUCUUGAUCGCAUGAUUGAGAAAGGAAAGACGGCCUUUGUGCUGUCGCUUAUGGAUGGACCCGCGGCGUAUUAGUUAGUUGGUGAGGUAACGGCUCACCAAGACGAUGAUACGUAGCCGACCUGAGAGGGUGAUCGGCCACAUUGGGACUGAGACACGGCCCAAACUCCUACGGGAGGCAGCAGGUAGGGAAUCUUCCGCAAUGGACGAAAGUCUGACGGAGCAACGCCGCGUGAGUGAAGGUAAAGGGUUUUCGGAUACGUAAAACUCUGUUGUCAGAGAAGAACAAGUUGGAGAGUAACUGCUCCAGCCUUGACGGUAUCUGACCAAGAAAGCCACGGCUAACUACGUGCCAGCCGCAGC